CCUACGGGCGACAGCAGUGGGGAAUAUUGGGCAAUGGAGGCAACUCUGACCCAGCAACGCCGCGUGAAUGAUGAAGGUCUUCGGAUUGUAAAGUUCUUUUCUAAGGGAAGAAGAAAGUGACGGUACCUUAGGAAUAAGCCUUGGCUAACUCCGUGCCAGCAGCCGCGGUAAUAAGUAGGAGGCAAGCGUUAUCCGGAAGGACUGGGCGGAAAGGGUGCGUAGGGGGUUCAGGAAGUUAGUAGCGGAACUCCGGGGCACAACCUCGGCACUACUACUAAAACUGUUGGACUUGAGUGCAGGAGGGGCAACUGGAAUUCCUAGUGUAGCGGUGGAAUGCGUAGAUAUUAGGAGGAACACCAGUGGCGAAGGCGAGUUGCUGGACUGUAACUGACACUGAGGCACGAAAGCGUGGGGAGCAAACAGGAUUAGAUACCCGUGUAGUC
Molecule: ribosomal RNA, 443 nt
Filed under: uncultured bacterium
Lineage: Bacteria
Description: partial 16S ribosomal RNA
Rfam family: Bacterial small subunit ribosomal RNA
Source: RNAcentral